RNAcentral lists this non-coding RNA (107 nucleotides) under Aplanochytrium sp. PBS07. Lineage: Eukaryota; Bigyra; Thraustochytrida; Thraustochytriidae. The record is from RNAcentral.
UUUUGUAGAAAACUUGCUUCUUCCUCCGAGUCCGAGUCCGAUUCUGAAUCCAUUGCUUUCGCUCCCGAUUCGAAACCGACAGUUUGUGUCUCGAUGAGUAGAACCCC